AUUGAACGCUGGCGGCAUGCCUUACACAUGCAAGUCGAACGGCAGCACGGGCUUCGGUCUGGUGGCGAGUGGCGAACGGGUGAGUAAUGUAUCGGAACGUACCAUUGAGUGGGGGAUAACGUAGCGAAAGUUACGCUAAUACCGCAUAUUCUCUCCGGAGGAAAGCAGGGGACCGCAAGGCCUUGCGCUCUUUGAGCGGCCGAUAUCAGAUUAGCUAGUUGGUGGGGUAAAAGCUCACCAAGGCGACGAU
RNAcentral lists this ribosomal RNA (250 nucleotides) under uncultured bacterium. RNAcentral describes it as "partial 16S ribosomal RNA". It matches the Rfam family "Bacterial small subunit ribosomal RNA", at positions 30 to 280 of the family's 1533-position model. The record is from RNAcentral.